Molecule: ribosomal RNA, 345 nt
Filed under: uncultured soil bacterium
Lineage: Bacteria
Description: bacterial SSU rRNA
Rfam family: Bacterial small subunit ribosomal RNA
Source: RNAcentral
AGAUUGAACGCUGGCGGCAUGCCUAACACAUGCAAGUCGAACGGCAGCACAGCCCGCAAGGGUGGGUGGCGAGUGGCGGACGGGUGAGGAAUACAUGGGAAUCUACCCUGUCGUGGGGGAUAACGUAGGGAAACUUACGCUAAUACCGCAUACGACCGAGAGGUGAAAGCGGCGGACCGCAAGGCGUCGCGCGACUGGAUGAGCCCAUGUCGGAUUAGCUAGUUGGCGGGUAAAAGCCCACCAAGGCGACGAUCCGUAGCUGGUCUGAGAGGAUGAUCAGCCACACUGGAACUGAGACACGGUCCAGACUCCUACGGGAGCAGCAGUGGGGAAUAUUGGACAAGU